GAUGAAGAACGUAGCGAAAUGCGAUAAGUAAUGUGAAUUGCAGAAUUCAGUGAAUCAUCGAAUCUUUGAACGCACCUUGCGCCCUUUGGCCAUUCCGAAGGGCAUGCCUGUUUGAGUAUCAUGAACACCUCAACUCUUUAUGGUUUUCCAUGAUGAGCUUGGACUCUGGGGGUUUUGCUGGCUCACAGUCGGCUCCUCUAAAAUGAAUCAGCUUACCAGUGUUUGGUGGGUAUCAUGGGUGUGAUAACUAUCUACGCUUGUUGUUUUUCCACCAGGUAACCUUCAGCAGUGGAGGUUCGCUGGAGCUCAUAGAUGUCUCUCCUCAGUGAGGACAGCCCUUUGAAUGUUUGAUCUCAAAUCAGGUAGGACUACCCGCUGAACUUAAGCAUAUCAAUAAGCGGAGGA
RNAcentral lists this unclassified non-coding RNA (405 nucleotides) under soil metagenome. Its description in RNAcentral is "partial contains 5.8S ribosomal RNA, internal transcribed spacer 2, and large subunit ribosomal RNA". The stretch from base 1 to 121 matches the Rfam family "5.8S ribosomal RNA", at positions 35 to 154 of the family's 154-position model. The record is from RNAcentral.